GCGGUAGUAGCUCAGUUGGUUAGAGCGUCUCCUUGCCAAGGAGAAGGUCGCCGGUUCGAAUCCGGUUUACCGCU
Molecule: transfer RNA, 74 nt
Filed under: Candidatus Magasanikbacteria bacterium RIFCSPHIGHO2_02_FULL_48_18
Lineage: Bacteria; Candidatus Magasanikiibacteriota
Also listed under: 3 other names
Description: tRNA-Gly
Rfam family: tRNA
About the family: Transfer RNA (tRNA) molecules are approximately 80 nucleotides in length. Their secondary structure includes four short double-helical elements and three loops (D, anti-codon, and T loops).
Source: RNAcentral